CUGUUACACAAUGUGAAAAAUAUUCCAACUUUUGUUAUAAGACACACCGAAAGCCAACCAACCAAACUUCUUAAAACUUUCGCACAAAGUAUCUACCCUAAAAUUCCUGGCAAGCGAACCAACAAUUUACAUGCAAAAUCAUCUGAAUUUUCUUUCGUGGUAUUCCCCGCAACAAUUCGAAUUUCCCUAAAAAUUACCAACGUAGUCGUUCGAGAAAUUCGUCUAUUUACAUUCAGCUUAUAGACGAUGGCGUAGAAAAUACACUUGUUCCCGACAUACUGUUCCAACCUUUCCGUAAAGCCCGUUACAAGCAUCGAUUGGCAACUGUCGAGAGACCAAGAAACUUCGUUCGUCGCGUCGUCGAAAAACUUGGAAAGAAGAUACAAGAGUAUGGAUUACGAAAAGAAUAUCAAACAGACAUUUGACCGUGAGCUGAAUAUUAAUAUCAACACUUUGACCAUUCAAGUUUGAUCAGAUAAAAGCACGUCCUAUUUAGUUUCAUAUUAAAACAUGUUCUUACAGUUUUUAGAAAUAUAUUGAAUCUUUUAUAAUAAUAAAUACAUAACAGUAUGUUAUAAAAAUUAACAGUGGAUUGACUUACACAAUCAUGA
Molecule: unclassified non-coding RNA, 611 nt
Filed under: Bombus terrestris (buff-tailed bumblebee)
Lineage: Eukaryota; Metazoa; Arthropoda; Insecta; Hymenoptera; Apidae
Description: misc RNA ENSBTSG00005025127.1
Source: RNAcentral